UACGUAGGCAGCAAGCGUUGUUCGGAUUUACUGGGCGUAAAGAGUGUGUAGGCUGUUCUCUAAGUUUGGUGUGAAAUCUCCCGGCUCAACUGGGAGGGUGCGCCGAAAACUGGAGGGCUCGAGUAUGGGAGAGGAAAGCGGAAUUCCUGGUGUAGCGGUGAAAUGCGUAGAUAUCAGGAGGAACACCUGCGGUGUAGACAGCUUUCUGGACCAUCACUGACGCUGAGACACGAAAGCGUGGGUAGCAAACAGG
This 253-nucleotide ribosomal RNA is filed under the name uncultured bacterium. RNAcentral describes it as "partial 16S ribosomal RNA". It matches the Rfam family "Bacterial small subunit ribosomal RNA", at positions 524 to 776 of the family's 1533-position model. The record is from RNAcentral.